UGAUUAAAGAAGGAGAUCAAAUCAGAUCUGCCAUCAGAAGCCAUUUAUGCAAGCUAGCACUCCCGCAAAAGACUGAUCGAUUCGAAGACUUUGUGUGGAUGAUCCGUAGAUCGAGGUCAAACUCCUUAUAUAGCUGUGAGUGACUAGUAUAGCCUCUAAUCCAUGAGUUUUAGUUGUGGUGUUCAUCAACCCACGCUUAGAUAUAGGGUUCGAAACCCUAGUA
Molecule: long non-coding RNA, 223 nt
Filed under: Elaeis guineensis (African oil palm)
Lineage: Eukaryota; Viridiplantae; Streptophyta; Magnoliopsida; Arecales; Arecaceae
Description: long non-coding RNA (EGUI_LNC044670)
Source: RNAcentral